This 434-nucleotide ribosomal RNA is filed under the name uncultured bacterium. Its description in RNAcentral is "partial 16S ribosomal RNA". It matches the Rfam family "Bacterial small subunit ribosomal RNA", at positions 29 to 507 of the family's 1533-position model. The record is from RNAcentral.
AGCGAACGCUGGCGGCAGGCCUAACACAUGCAAGUCGAACGAACCUUUCGGGGUUAGUGGCGGACGGGUGAGUAACACGUGGGAACGUGCCUUUAGGUUCGGAAUAACUCAGGGAAACUUGUGCUAAUACCGAAUGUGCCCUUCGGGGGAAAGAUUUAUCGCCUUUAGAGCGGCCCGCGUCUGAUUAGCUAGUUGGUUGAGGUAAUGGCUCACCAAGGCGACGAUCAGUAGCUGGUCUGAGAGGAUGAUCAGCCACAUUGGGACUGAGACACGGCCCAAGCUCCUACGGGAGGCAGCAGUGGGGAAUCUUGCGCAAUGGGCGAAAGCCUGACGCAGCCAUGCCGCGUGAAUGAUGAAGGUCUUAGGAUUGUAAAAUUCUUUCACCGGGGACGAUAAUGACGGUACCCGGAGAAGAAGCCCCGGCUAACUUCGUG